UUAGAUACCCUAUUAUACUAAUAAAAACCUGAGUUAUUAAUAGAUAUUGUCUUUAAAUUUGAAGAAUUUGGCGGUGAUUUAAUCUUGUUAGAGGAAUCUGUUUUUGAAUCGAUACACCACGUUAAAUUUUACUUGUUUUAUUUAGUUUAUAUACCGUCAUUAGCAGAUAAUUUUAAGAGGAAUUGAAUUAUUAAAAUUUAUUUACAAAUAAAUUAAAUUAGAUCAAGGUGUAGCUUAUAAAUAAGUUAAAAUGGAUUACAAUAAAAUGUAUAUUAUCACGAAGUAGGAGAGUAAGAGAGUCCUAUAAAGGAGGAUUUAAUUGUAAUAUGAGUUUAAUAAGCUCAAAAGAUAUAAGCACUAAAUCAUGUACAUAUCGCCCG
Molecule: ribosomal RNA, 380 nt
Filed under: Platypodia eydouxi
Lineage: Eukaryota; Metazoa; Arthropoda; Malacostraca; Decapoda; Xanthidae
Description: partial 12S ribosomal RNA
Source: RNAcentral